RNAcentral lists this ribosomal RNA (697 nucleotides) under Paenibacillus sp. Its description in RNAcentral is "bacterial SSU rRNA". It matches the Rfam family "Bacterial small subunit ribosomal RNA", at positions 71 to 756 of the family's 1533-position model. Lineage: Bacteria; Bacillati; Bacillota; Bacilli; Caryophanales; Paenibacillaceae. The record is from RNAcentral.
UCUUGUCCUUCGGGGCAAGGUUAGCGGCGGACGGGUGAGUAACACGUAGGUAACCUGCCCGUAAGACUGGGAUAACAUUCGGAAACGAAUGCUAAUACCGGAUACACAGCUUGGUCGCAUGACCGAGCUGGGAAAGAUGGAGCAAUCUAUCACUUACGGAUGGACCUGCGGCGCAUUAGCUAGUUGGUGAGGUAACGGCUCACCAAGGCGACGAUGCGUAGCCGACCUGAGAGGGUGAUCGGCCACACUGGGACUGAGACACGGCCCAGACUCCUACGGGAGGCAGCAGUAGGGAAUCUUCCGCAAUGGACGAAAGUCUGACGGAGCAACGCCGCGUGAGUGAUGAAGGUUUUCGGAUCGUAAAGCUCUGUUGCCAGGGAAGAACGCUUGGGAGAGUAACUGCUCUCAAGGUGACGGUACCUGAGAAGAAAGCCCCGGCUAACUACGUGCCAGCAGCCGCGGUAAUACGUAGGGGGCAAGCGUUGUCCGGAAUUAUUGGGCGUAAAGCGCGCGCAGGCGGCCUUGUAAGUCUGUUGUUUAAACUCGGGGCUCAACCCCGAGUCGCAAUGGAAACUGCAAAGCUUGAGUGCAGAAGAGGAAAGUGGAAUUCCACGUGUAGCGGUGAAAUGCGUAGAGAUGUGGAGGAACACCAGUGGCGAAGGCGACUUUCUGGGCUGUAACUGACGCUGAGGCGCGA